UUGUUAGCUCAGUUGGUUCAGAGCAUCUGCCUUACAAGCAGAGGGUCGGCGGUUCGAAUCCGUCACA
This 67-nucleotide transfer RNA is filed under the name bovine gut metagenome. It matches the Rfam family "tRNA", at positions 5 to 66 of the family's 71-position model. From Rfam's summary of the family: Transfer RNA (tRNA) molecules are approximately 80 nucleotides in length. Their secondary structure includes four short double-helical elements and three loops (D, anti-codon, and T loops). The record is from RNAcentral.